UCAUUAUUUUACCCAAAACUACCUGAGCAGUAAAGUUUCCCCUAUCAAAUUUUCCUUCAUAUAGGACUAUAUUAGUCUAUGACCUAUCACUACCUUCACUAACUUUGUAGUUUUGGCUAUCAUACGACUCAAUAAAUCUCUACGUGGCAGUAUAUUAUGGGUUUUAUAUACAGUAGUACUUCUAUAUGUGGAGGAAUUACAGUGACAUAUGUAUUGCUCUCUGCCGAAAUGGACAAGAGAAAUAUGAUUCUUUUUUACGUGGCAGGAGAUUAACGAUUCCUAGUAUUUGGUGUCAGAAUGUGGUUUUGUUUACGUGUCGGCUUGUCCCACGGCAGUUAACUAGGCCGUUGAACUUGACGGCUCAAAAUUUUAGGCCGUUGAAAUAGAAAACCUCAAAAUCAUGCAUCAAUGGGCUUGUAAGAAUCCGUAAUUUGGUUAUAAAGCCCGUUCGUUUUCCAAUUAUGGCAAAUGAGUUUUGUCCUUUGUGUAUAUGCGUGUUUAAUCCAUUCUGGUGUCCACUUUGUCUAGAAGUCCUCUGUGGUGAAACAAUAUGCAUAGCAUGACGUUGUAUAGGAUUACAUGAAUUUAUACAAUAUUAAAUUAAUAAUUAGUUUUUUUCGACACCACAUAUGGGAUAAUUCAGUUUGUUGUUGUUGUAAGAUUAUAAUUAGUAUAUAUGUCAGAAAGAUCAGAUCAAUAAUUCAGGAAAAUGACAAAUAAAGCAGAAAGCUUUAUUAAGGCCAUGUGAACGAUGAUUUCCAAUGAAGUAUCCGACAAUGUUGAAAGAAAGAUUUCUGAAAGUAUUUUAAGUCCGUAGCUCUCUCUCUCUAUAUAUAUAUAUAUAUAUAUAUUAGUCGUAGGUUUGCAAGUCACUCUCAAAUAAACCAUUCUAUUCUCUCAUAUCACUCUGAUGUUUUCUGUAUUUCACUUUGUAUCCUCAAUCUUGUGUUCAUAAGUCAUUUGUAGAAGUGUAUCAUCGUCCGAUAUAUUUAGAAAAACUUUAGAAAUAAAUCCCUCUUAAUUAAACAUCUUUUAAAAGAUAAAUAUUUAAAAAUAUAUACUAACAAACUAUAAUUAACGAAAAUAUGAUUUGGGAGCAACUACAUAAUCUAAAUUGGGACAUAUAUGUAGUUGUUUGAUGUAAAGUGAGAGAAUAGGUGGGCAAACCCUCAAAUUUGGGAUAUACUUUUCAUUUCACAGUCAUUGAGUUGAGAUUUGGAGUUUACGUUUUAGAGAUUGAAACUUUGGGUACACGAUUUCUAUUUUUAUUGCUUUUAGUAUAUCUCAUUGGAUUACUUGGAUUUUUCUUAAAAUAAUUGUAAGGUGAGAGCUCUUUCCCUGUGCACGGGGGCAGAAGGAAUACAAAAAAUGUAAGGCAUAUAUCACGUAAACUCCUCCCAUCAACCACUUGCAGAUAUAAAAUUUGAGGAACUUUAUUUAGGGUUUGUAUUUUAGCAG
This 1458-nucleotide long non-coding RNA is filed under the name Nicotiana benthamiana. Its description in RNAcentral is "long non-coding RNA (NBEN_LNC007046)". Lineage: Eukaryota; Viridiplantae; Streptophyta; Magnoliopsida; Solanales; Solanaceae. The record is from RNAcentral.